AUACGGAGGGGGCAAGCGUUAUUCGGAAUUAUUGGGCGUAAAGGGCGCGUAGGCGGCUUGACAAGUCAAAGGUGAAAUCCCUCGGCCUAACCGAGGAACUGCCUUUGAAACUGUUUGGCUUGAGGCCGGGAGAGGGUGGUGGAAUUCCCAGUGUAGCGGUGAAAUGCGUAGAUAUUUGGAGGAACACCAGUGGCGAAGGCGACCACCUGGACCGGUUCUGACGCUGAGGCGCGAAAGCGUGGGUAGCAAACAGGAUUAGAAACCCCAGUAGUCC
This 274-nucleotide ribosomal RNA is filed under the name uncultured bacterium. RNAcentral describes it as "partial 16S ribosomal RNA". It matches the Rfam family "Bacterial small subunit ribosomal RNA", at positions 523 to 796 of the family's 1533-position model. The record is from RNAcentral.